AGCCUUAAAAAUGCUUCAAAAUAUUUUCAUUUUAAAUAUCUACAAACAUAUUUUUAGCUAGUGAAUUGUAUUAUUACAGUGACCAAUCUCGAGUGAAAUAUAACAUAUUCCUACCUUUAUAGAACGAACAGGAACAACUUGAGUCUGUCGGUCGGCCAGAUCCAAAACCCUGGCCUGCGAAGUGCGAACCAUAGUGGGUUUAACUGGAGAGGGGAAAUAAAAUAAUUCUAGAUUUUUUUGUCAUGAAUUGUGGGCUCGAUUGGAUCCAAUCCAGAUUAAACCAUGGUCUAAUCUAACCGAACGAGGCUUACCUGGUGGCUGGUGCUUGGCUUCCUGGAGACCAGGAUGAAGCAAAAUUCAGAUCUGCCACUGGACGCAGCGCUGUUCCGCUUGUCUCCGUGCUGCUCAGCUUCGACGCUUCCUGCUCGUUUCCACUUCGGUAGUUCCUGUUUUCGUCUCCACUU
This 464-nucleotide long non-coding RNA is filed under the name Zea mays. Its description in RNAcentral is "long non-coding RNA (ZMAY_LNC003860)". Lineage: Eukaryota; Viridiplantae; Streptophyta; Magnoliopsida; Poales; Poaceae. The record is from RNAcentral.